UUUCCCGUGAGAAAACAGUCGGAACAGCAAGCAUGUUACCGACUCGUCACAUUCCCCCACACAGCCUGAGCUAUGUAACACAUUUCGAGAAAUGCCGAAACACAGACUCCCUUACACACCUCCACCCUCCUCCUCCUCCUCCAUACUCACACACACUCACACACACAAUCUUACUAUGCCUCUGUGGAAAUGGGAAUUUCCAGUAUUGUUACUGUUAUCAGUCUAUCAGGACUCAUUUAAUGAGUAAUUCAUUUUAUUUUAUACAGAUUGCAUUUUACAAUACAAAUCAAAUAUUCAUCUUUCACUUCCCUCUUUGAUUGUUACUGAUGAUGCUGUGCUAGGAGCCAAAUGAAAGCAACAACCAGGCUCAACUACACUAAACAAAUGGAAACUGAAUUAAAAUUAAGUUCAACUUUCUAAUAAGACAUAAAAGGCUUAUAAGUUGUAACUAAUGGCUUUAUUCAUAAUAAUAAAUAAUUUGCUAAUGCAGGAUCAAUCAUAUGCCUUUGAUUAGGACAGCAUUUGGGUCACCAGGCUGGGGAGAUCCCUUGGAUUACCAACAUCAAAACUGCAUCACUACCUUGUAGGUAGAUGGGUAAUUUAUGAGGAGGACAUGGGUAUACUCUUCUGUAUAUUCCAAUGGCUUUUUUGGCUGAUCGGUGGUAUACAGAAAACAGCCAGAAAAGAGGUAUAUGUAACAGGGUCAAUUGGGCGUACCCCACCUUUAAAGGGGUGUUUCCCGCCUUGCCUCUCCCCAUUUUGCUGUUGUACUCCAUGAGAGAGGUAAGCGACAUCGCUAUUGUAGUAAGUUCUGUGUUUUAGCACUGUUAAGCUGUUUAUAAGUUAAUUUCUCAGCCUAAACUUAUUGUAUAGGGCCUUGCAUUAUAUGGUCGUAGCUGACGGAGGAUUUUGUUUUUACCUUUUGCUGUCAUGUAUGUUUCCUUUUUUUGUUGUUGUUGUACUUAACUGAAUGUAACAUGGCCACCCUUUUGCUCUCUGAUUGGUCUGAGAUAAUUAAGAUGGGCAGGACAGAGAUUCAAAAAACCACUGGCCCAAAACCUUUCAAGAGGGAGCCAGGACUAUGCUAACUUCCCCCUACUGAAUGACCUGAGAGUCCCCAGAUUUAAAAAAUUUCACCACAAACACGUCUGAAGCCCAGACACCAGCGACCGCAGAGGGAGUCUGACCUGAGUCUAAUUCUGUCACCGUACCAAAGGAAGUCUGAGCUGCUGAUGUGCUGUUUGACCUCAUGUGCUCCUUCGCCAUGUGAAGUAUUUACAGAGCAGCAGAGCCUCUGACCUGCUCCCCUUAUGCCCCCCUGCCGUCACCUGGCUCCUCUCAAGCGACCUGACAGGAGGAACACUCUGUCUGUCCACACACUGCUUCCUCAAGGAGCCACACAUUCCUCCAUCUCUGAUUACAAUCUUCAAGACCUUUAUUUCCUCAUUACUUGUAAAUUACCCAUAGGGGCUAAAUGAGCAUCUCUAGUGGAUCUUUUGGUAGUGCCUUACUCAGUGGGAGCUUCAGUAGUUGUUGAAACAGGGGUAGG
Molecule: long non-coding RNA, 1549 nt
Organism: Epinephelus fuscoguttatus (brown-marbled grouper)
Lineage: Eukaryota; Metazoa; Chordata; Actinopteri; Perciformes; Serranidae
Exons: 4
Source: RefSeq, a predicted model, not a curated record